Molecule: long non-coding RNA, 13299 nt
Organism: Mustela lutreola (European mink)
Lineage: Eukaryota; Metazoa; Chordata; Mammalia; Carnivora; Mustelidae
Exons: 2
Source: RefSeq, a predicted model, not a curated record
AAAAAAGAUACAAACCAUAAAGGAAAAAGAUUGAUUAAUUUGGCUACAUUAAUAUUAAGAACUUCUUUUCAACAUACAGCAUAAAGACUAUGAGAAGAGAACCCAUGGCCUGGAAAAUGGUAUUUACACACAGACGGCCAACAUGAAUUAGUGUCCAGAACAGUUUUAAAAAUCCACCCCUCCCCACCAUGAAUUAUUUAAAAAGGGUUGAAAACCUAUUAGCAAAAUAGAAAAAGACAUUAACAGGUCACAGAAGGAGAAAAAAUGAAUGAGCAAAACAUUAAUGAGCUAUUUAUCCUCUUUAGUAAUUUGAGAAAUGCAGAUUAAAAUUAUAGUGAGGUACCAUUUUACACCUAACCAAUGGGCACAAAUUUUAAAGUUAGACAGUAUUCGAGAGUCCACGAGAAUUUGGAGCAACCAGGCCUCAUCCAUUGCUAGCAACAGUGUAAAUUGGUACAACUUUGGAAAUAUAAUUUGUGUUUCUUGAUAAAAUGUGAACACAUACAUAACCUACAAUAUCCAUAACUUAUCCAUGGGCGUGUGCUUUAGGGAGUGGUUCUCACAGACCUGCAUCCCUGUGAUCCCGCAUCAGCAUCUCCUGGGAGCUUGUUAAAGAUGUACCUUCUCUAGCCACCCAGACCUGCCGAACCAGAGACUGGUCUGGGGCCAGCAAUAUGUGCUUGAGCAAACCUUGCCUGUGAUUCUGAUACACGUCCAAGUUUGGAACUACUGCUUUUAAGAAGUAUUGAUGUGUGUGUGUACUGGAGACUUGAGCAGGAGUGUUCACAGCAGCACUUCGUAAAAUCCGCAGACUAGAAGCCCUGACACCCUUCAGCAGGAGAAAGGAUAAUCCUAUUACGGUGUGUCCCUAGAGCAGUGAAAAUGAACAAUCCACUGUGACACUUACUAGAAUGGAUGGCACAAAACUCCGGAUAAAAAGCUUAUCACAGAGGCAUCUCUGCGGUAUGAUUUCAUUUGUUUAAAAGUCAAAAACUCUGAACAAGAAGCUGUUCAGGAAUAUGUACACAUGUAGUAUUCCUAUAAAGAAAAGCAAGGAAAUGAUUUAUACACAAUUCAGAACAGUAGUUCUGUUUGUGGGGAAGGCAAUAGGAUGUAAUUGGGGAGAAGCAUACAAACAUUAAAAGUACUGAAGAGAUCCUAUUUUUUUAAAAACUAGGUAGUGGGUAUAUUGCUGUUCAUUUUACUAUUUUUGUUUUUUUAUUUUUAAAAGAUUUUAUUUAUUUAUUUGACAGAGAUCUCAAGUAGGCAGAGAGGCAGGCAGAGAAAGAGAGAAGCAGGCUCCCCUACUGAGGAGAGAGCCCACCAUGGGGCUCGAUCCCAGGCCCCCGAGAUCAUGACCCGAGCCGAAGGCAGACUUUAACACACUGAGCCACCCAGGCACCCCUCAUUUUACUAUUUUUAAAAAUUAGCAUAUUGAGUGGGAACUGAACAUUCAAUUUUGUAAGGUGUAGGAUUGCAAAAUUGAGAGGCAGUAUUUUCCUGGUAUCAGGAAAGACUUUUAUAUGGAAAUGAAUGUGGGUGUAACAAGGAGCAGGGUGCAAAUAUGCAUGAUGUUUUAAAAUACUUUAAGGAAAGUGUGCACUGGUUGGGACUCCCUUAAGGCUGUACCCCCUCAGAUUUCCUGACAAUAAUUGUCACUUUGCUCUGCCCUUAUAGGUACUAUACUAGGGUAGAAAAUUGAAGAUACUCCAUAAGCAAGGCAGAGAGUUAGAGCUCAUGAAAACUUCCCCUAGUGAUGAGGGCGUUGAGGCUAGUGAUCUGUGAGCUGAGGAGGUAGUCAAGGUCCCCGGGGCUCGUCUAUCCCUUUCCCCUGCAUGACAGCCCAGGAGGAUCCCAUUCUAUCUGGUGUAGGUGGGUGGGUAUAAGUGGAAGAGGGUUGCUUGGCCCACUUUGGGCUUUCCACAUGUUAAGGGAUAAACCUUAACAAAAACCAUUUGUAAACUGCUUUUUCUAUAUCUCUUGAGAUGCUGGCAUUAUUUUUAUCCUUCAUUUUGUUAGUGGGGUAUAUCAUUGAUUAAUUUAUGUAUAUUGAACCAUCCUUGUUUUCCUGGAUUAGGUCCCAUUUGGUCAUGGUGAAUGAUCAUUUUAAUAUAUUUUUGAACUCUGUUUGCUAAAAUUUUGAGGAAUUUUGCAUCAGUGUUCAUCAGGGAUAUUAGUCAAUUUUCUUUUUUAUAGUGUCCUUGUCUAGUUUUCCUAUCUAGGUAAUGCUGGCCUCUUAGAAUGAUUUUGGAAGCAUUCCUUCCUUUUCUGUAUUUUAGAAUAGUUUGAGAAAAGUAAGUAUUAACUCUUUAAAUGUUUGCUAGAAUUUACCUUGAAACCAUCUGGUCAUAGACUGGUUUGUUGGGAGUGCUAAUUUUUAAAUUUUUAUUAUUUAUUUAUUUUAAAGAUUUCAUUUAUUUAUUUGAAAGAGAGGCAGUGAAAGAGAGCAUGAGCGAGGAGAAGGUCAAAGGAGAAGACUCCCUGUGGAGCUGGGAGCCCGAUGCAGGACUCGAUCCCGGGACUCUGGAAUCAUGACUUGAGCCAAAAGCAGUCGUCCAACCAACUGAGCCACCCAGGCGUCCCUGUUGGGAGUUUUUAGAUUAUAGAUUCAAUUUUAUUACUAGUAAUUAGUCUUUUCCGGUUUCUGUUUUUUCCUGAUUCAGCCUCAAAAGAUUGUAUGUUUCUAGAAAUUUAUCCAUUUCUUCUCGGUUGUCCAGUUUGAUGGCAUAUAAUUGUUCAUGGUGUUUUAUGAUCUUUUAUAUUUCUGAGGUAUCAUUUGUAACUUCUCUAUAAUAAUGGAUUUCAUUUAUUUAACUACUCUUUUUUUUUUUUUCUUGAUUAGUCUGGCUAAAUACCACCAUGUACUUCUGAACAGGGUAAGCAGGAAAAUGUCAGUUUUUCUAGUGGCAAAAUGAGAAGAUCUCUUCCAUAUACUUGACGUAUAAUUCCUAAGAUUUAGAGUUGAUUUUCAGCAAAACUAUAUAAUGGGUGAGGCAUAUAUUUGAAAUCCUGCUGUUUGAGAAUUGUACCCUCUCCUCUCUACAUGCAGUGUGCCACCUGGUUGGUCCCACUAUUCAUAUACCCCCCUCUGUAGGCUCUCCAUCAAUACAUUUACCCAACCCUUCUUGCUAAUCUAAUGAAGUACUUCAUGCUAGCAUAAAAGAGGCCAGUUGUGAUUGUCAGGAUACGGUAGCAGCAGGCAUGUAAGCUCUUUGAAUCUGCUAGAUCAUGCAGUCUUCAAAGGUGGGGACCAUUGCGUCUUUCUCUAAUCCAUCAAGUUCCUGCACUACAUAUGCUGUUAAGUGAACAAGCAGAAGAGUUGGUACAAAAGUGCAUUUAUGGCACCUGGGUGGCUCAGUGGGUUAAGCUGCUGCCUUCGGCUCAGGUCAUGAUGCCAGGGUCCUGGGAUUGAGUCCCGCAUGGGGCUCUCUGCUCAGCAGGGAGCCUGCUUUUCUCUCUCUCUCUCUGCCUGCCUCUCCAUCUACUUGUGAUCUCUGUCCAAAAAAUAAAAUCUUAAAAAAAAAAGUGCAUUUAUUAUUACAUCACCUCACAUCAUCUCCUCUUAUUAUGGUCUCAGUUACCCGUGGUCAGCUGUGGUCCAGAAGCUGAUGAUCCUCCUGGUAUAUCUUCAGAAUGUCAGUAGUAGCCGAACACUACACCAUAGCACCCACGUCAUUCCCUUCACUAGGCAUUCCCCUCACCUAGGCAUUUUACACCUCAGCAUCACAAGGGGAAGGGUGAGUACAGUAUAAUAAGAAAUAUUGUGAGAGAGAAAGACCACAUUCACUAAACUUUUGGUACAGUGUGUUAUUAUAAAUGUUCUGUUUUAUUACUAGUUACUGUUAAUCUCUUAAUAAUCUGCCUAAUUUACAAAUUAAAGUUGAUCAUAGACAUGUGUGCAUAGGAGGAAAACAGUAUGAGAGAGACUGUAUUCACAUCUUCUAAUACAGUAUAUUGUUAUAAUUGUUCUCUUUUAUUGUUGCUCAUCUGCUGUGCCUAAUUUUAAACUUUAUAUGGGUAUACAUGUGUAGGAAAAAAUGUAGUAUAUAUAGGGUUUAGUACUGUCCACAGUUUCAGGCAUCCAGUGGGGGUCUUGGAAAAUAUCCCCUAUGGAUAAGUGGGGACUUCUGCACAUACUAGUAAGGGAUCUGUGCCUUCAGCUUGAUCAGAUAAUGGCGUGUUUUUCCAAAGUGGCUGAAAUAACUUACAUUCCCACUAAUUCUGGAUGAGAGUUCAUUUUACUUUCUAUUCUUGCCAGCUCUUGACAUUGACAGAGAUAAUUUUUUUAAACCGAUUUGAUGUGUGUGAAAUGGUAUCUUCUUAUGGUUUUAACCCACUUUUGCUGACAUUCACCAUCCUGUGUUAGUUACCUGAAAUUUUUUUUAAAAACCCCAAAAUUGAAAAAUGCUGAAGUUCUUUUUGUCACACUCAUUCAGCGAUAUUAAGAACAGUUUUCCCUGAAGCAGCUGGUAUCCAACACAUGGAUGUUCACAGCGUGAUUCCCAUACACAGAGCGGAACUUCCUCGGGCUUGUAAAAUGAAGCCAAAGCUGCUGCCAGCCCUGUGAUUCUCUUCAGAACUGGUGGGUUUUUCCUGGAUUGAGUGUGAAUGUGCUGCUGCUUCUAGAAUGGAAGGCAAGUACCAAAUGACUCGCAUCUCUCAUGCCUUCUGGAAACUCAUGCCUGGAAGAUACAGCCACUCAUUCCUAUGCUGUGUGGUGGCCUUUAAGAGGGAGACAGCAACCUGCCAGCCUUCUGCAGAUGACUUGACUGCCGGCCAGGAUAGAUAAAGCACCAGUUGGCAGAGCGGCAGGCAGAGGGAGAGGGAGAAGCAGGCUCUCUACUGAGCAGGGAGCCCAAUGCAGGGCUCAAUCCCAGGACCCUGGGAUCACGACUCGAGCUGAAGGCAGCUGCUCAACCGACUGAGCCACCCAGGUGCCCCUUUUCUCAUAUUUUUUUGUUUGGACGAUAUUCCUCUGUUUUCAUUUUGUUUUACUUUCUGGGUUUGUUUGAAUGAAUUAGGCAAAGCAGCUACCUCUCCCAUUCUGGAUGAUAGGACGUGUACAGGAAUAUCCCUGAUGUAGACUGUGUAUGUCUGAUGGUUUGGGCUGGCUGGUUAUAGCAGUGAGGGGUGUGGUCUGAAAAUUUCCUGAGCGGUCUACUCUGGGUCACUCUGAUAAGACGGCUGGGGCUGAAGCAGGCAGAGAGCAGAGGUCCCUGGGUGCUUCACAAAGGGGUGCCCUGGUGGGAUAGUUGGAACUGAAGUGGGCAUGGGCUGGAUGGUCCCCCGGCAUUCUGUGCUUGGAGAAUCCUGGAGGGAUGGUUCCAGCUAUAGUCAGUGUGGCGUAGGGGACCUCAGGGCACUGAGGUGAGUUGGCUGGAGCUAAAACAGGUGGAGGCAUAGGGUGUCCUGGAGUGCUUUGUGCCUUUAUUAUCUGGGGAAGUUGGCUGCAGCUGUAAUGGGCACAACUAGAGGAGGGACCUGGUGUGCACUGUGUUGGGCUCACCUUGGGGGGACAGCUGGAGCUGGCAGGCAUGCGUGUAGGGGCCGUGUUGGGAAGAUGUCAGGCUGGUGUGGGCUAGGGACCUGGUGUUUGCUAAUGCAGCAGGCUGGCUAGAGUGCUGAGACCUUGAGCCCAUCUGUGCCGUCAAGGUAAGGCUGAAUGUAAACAGUGGUAAUCACUAGCACAUGAGUCCGGGGAAAGUUCUAGCAGUUCCUUCGCUGUUUGUUGAAUGGCCUAGGGUUAGUUCAGUUGCCUAGUUAGUUAGUUCUUAGUCAAGUUAGUCUAGUUGCCUUUUGAACUGCUGCUCCUUUUCCAUGCCACAGCAUGGGUGAAUCUGUGCAUGGCCUCUGUGCUAUCUCUUCCUGCUGCAGUUUACAUCAGGGCUGGGUUUCCUGUUGUAACUGUGUCUCUGUUUCUCCUGCUGUUUUCUGUGUGGCCUCUCUAUCUUGUUGUACAGAAGCUGUUCAAUCAGUCCUCAGUUCUUCUUGAGGGGAAGCUGCUCUAGAUGUUGGUAUAGAUUUGGUAUGUCUGUGGAAGGAGGUAAGCCAAAGGUCUUCCUAGCCACCAUCUCAGACCUAAAUCUUCCCUUUUUCCUUUGAGGAGUUUUAUUGUUUCAGGUCUUAUAUUCAAGUCUUUAAUCAAUUUUGAAUUGAUCUGUGUACAUGGUAUAAAGUAGGGGGUCCAGUUUUCCCAUCACCAUUUAUUGAGGAGACUAUCCUUUCUCAAUUUUAUAUUCUUGGCUCGUUUGUGAAAAUCAGUUGACUCUCUCUAAAAUAAAUUUAGUAAGGCGGGGGAGGGACACACCUGGGUGCUUCAGUUGGUUAAGUGGCCGGCUCUUGUUUUUUUCAGGUUUGUGAGAUCCAGCCUGGUAUUGGGCUUCACGAUCAGCAGGGAGUCUGCUUGAGGAUUCUGUCUCUCUGCCCUUCCCCUUACUGUCUCUAAAAUAAAAUAAAUCUUAAAAAAAAAAAAAGAAAGAAAAUCAGUUGACAUAGUUUUAUUUUUGGGCCCUCUAUGCUCUUCUAUUGAUAUAUGGAUUUGUUUUUAUAGCAAUACCAUAAUGUUUUGAUUACUACAGCUUUGUAAAUAGUUGCAAUCUGGAAGCCUGAUUCCUCCAACUUUGUUCUUUUUUCUCAAGAUUGCUUUGCUAUUUUUAGUUUUGUGGUUCCCAACAAAUUUUAUUUUAUUUUAUUUUUUAAAGAUUUUAUUUAUUUAUUUGACAGACAGAGAUCACAAGUAGGCAGAGAGGCAGGCAGAGAGAGAGAGAGAGAGAGAGAGAGGGAAGCAGGCUUCCUACGGAGCAGAAAGCCCGAUGCGGGGCUCGAUCCCAGGACCCUGAGAUCAUGACCCGAGCCGAAGGCAGCAGCCCAAACCACUGAACCACCCAGGCGCCCCCAACAAAUUUUAAAGAAAAAAUUUUUUUCUAUUUCUUUGAAAGAUGCUACUGGAUUAUUAAUAGGGAUUACACUGCAUCUAUAGAUUUCUUUGGGUAGUAUGGACUUUCUCAUAAUAUAAAUUUUUCCCACCCAUGAAUAUGGAGUAUCUUUCCAUUUGUGUCUUUUUCUUUUUUUUUUUCAUUAAAGUCUGGUAGUUUCAGUGUACAUAUCUUUUACCUCCUUAGUUAAAUGUAUUCCUAAGUAUUUUAUUCUUUUUGAUGUUUUUAUGGCAUUUUUAUUUGGCCAUAAAAUUGGCACAUGGGUCAUUUCAUCUUAAACCAUCAUUCAUUUAUUCCAUCUGAGAACACUGUUCCUAGAACUGCCACCUUAGUUUAAUCUAAAGAGGUAACUUCUUGGGGUGCCUGGGUGGUUCAGUGGGUUAAACCUCAGCCUUCAGCUCAGGUCAUGGUCUCAGGGUCCUGGGAUCAAGCCCCACAUCGGGCUGUCUGCUUGGCAGGGAGCCUGCUUCCCCCUCUCUCUGACUGCCUCUCUGCCUACUUGUGAUCUCUCUAUGUCAAAUAAAUAAAAUCUUAAAAAAAAAAAUAAAGAGUAACUUCCACUGAUACCUGACCUACUUAGACCUAAGUCUCACUGCAAGCACCCCAUGCUGGAGGAAAAACAGCCUGCCGAUUUCUCAGCUCUCAGCCGUGAGGAAUCCUAGGUUACCCUGGCAAUGAGGCAGAAAACUGCAAAAAGCCUGACCAGCAAAGCAGAAAGGAGAAGAAAGCAAGCCCGACCUAAUUUAUAAAAGAAACACCGCUAUUUGCUCUCAUACAAUAAAAGUUAUAAACCUUAAGAACUCUAAAAGGAUAAUUCAUGAUUGGAUAAUCUUUCUUUAAAAACAAGUCCUCUACAUUGUAAAACAUCAGCUACUAAUGAAGACUGUAAAGUGCUGAAAUAAAUAAAUGAAAUUUACAUCCAAACAGUAUUUACAAACAGGACUUUCAUGAAUGUAAUUCUUCCUUGGGCCUGUAGUUUGUGUAGUUCUAACUCUUACCUCGCAUGACUUUGACAUUUUGGAGGACUGUACCCUGGUUUUGUUUUAUUUUCAUGCUUUUAUUUUUGAAUAUCAAUGAUAUAUUAGUAUUACCACUGUCUUUUUGAAACCUAUAUCUCCAUCUGCUCAUGCUUUAAUAUAAAGUGUUUGAUUGUCCUCACUCUUUUUAAAAGAGGUACCAGUAAGAUACACUUUUAAUAAGACUGGGAUUUUAAAAACAAAGUAAUAGCCAGGAGAUAAAGAGCACUUGGACAUUGAAUGUAGUUUUAUGCAUUAAAAUUAACUGACAAAUGAAGUUCAAGUGACAUUCUAUGUUUUCAGUUUUUAAACAGUUUUAACAAUCACUAGGUUUAACAAAUCUAGAACCCCGAAUUGUCUACCAAUACUGUAGGUCCAAUUAGCUUAUCUUCAGAAGCAUCUUUUCAAUAAAGACAAUCUGUUAAGAAAUAAAUAGGGCAACACUCAAAAUGUGUGCCCAAAGCCCAUUUUGGAGGCAGUCAGUGAGUAAGAGUCUCUCUCGCAUACAAACCAGGGUGCUCAUGCUUGCCCCCGAAUUCCUGGAUGAUUUGCCUCCGAAAUUUCCCUUGUAGUUUUCCAGUACUCUGAAUCUACACGCAGCAGUUCAUAACCAAUACUAAUCCAGCAGCAUUUCCAAGUAUUUUUCAAAUACAAUCUAUGCAUAAUACCAUGAUUAAGGUACUGCAGGGGGAAAUGAAAGCUCAACAAAACCUGACUGAAACAUAAUUGAGAGCCUGCCUGAAAUCAUGAAGAUCACAGAAAUAUUUAGUAUUUUAUCUCAGUUUGUGUUAAGAACUUUCAAAAGGUAUUGGACACUAAAAGCAUAUAAUAUGAAAGGGAAAGUUGAAUUCUUGAUUUUUUGCUCUAAAAAUGUUCACUCUUCAUAUAGAAACAUGAAAAAAAUGUGUUCGGUUCCUACACAUGUAAAUCAUUUGUCAUCCAUUCAACUUCACUUCUUCACCAAAAAUCUUGUGAUGUCUGAUCCAUGCUUUGAUGCUAGAGAUUGUCUUCUCCCCUGGCUUCUUUCCUUAGCUUGUCUGGCAGUUCUCUAAAAGUUAAAAAAUAUAAAUGGUACACCUGUUAGGAAGAGAGUACUAGUUCCGGAAUCUCAAAAACUUUAUUUCAUCAGUCUGGAAAAAUCUACAUUAUCACCAUGCCCUGUUUCAGUGCUUUGCCCUCAGAUGGCACACCACACCACAAGAAGAGGACCCCAAUAGCUUCGUAAAUGCCCCAAGGUCCUAGGUUCACUUAGGACCAGAUGCUUUGGAGAAUGACUUACUCCCCAUUGAGACUGUGACUCCCUCCCUUUGAGGACUACAGGAGGCCCCAAUUCUCCUCAUCUAAGUAAGGGCGUACAUAAGCCGUCUUGUGAUUUCUCCCAGUGUGGUGCAUGUAAGCCUACUGGCUUCCCAUUCUGGGGUCUCAGAAGCCACUCCCAAGCCAAUGCAGAAAAACAAAAUGAGGUAGAUCAAAACUGGAUUCUUCUGCUAUUUCCACAAAUAAAAUUUCUCAUGAGAAUCUAAAAAUGAUUACAGAAGGGGUGGGUUUUCUUUUUGCUACACAGUAAUUCUCUUAAUAGGUCUUGCAUGUGCCAAUAAUUUUCACGGCUGAGAAAUCGGAUGACUUUUUUCCCAGUUCAGGUAUGUGAAGUUAUCCAGGUGGCAGGUGUGGGGAGAGAAAAGAGGGUUAAAACUAAAAGCAAAAAACCCUACUUACAUUACAAGGUCCAUUUUAUGUAAAAAUUGUAUUUGUGAAGAAACUGAGGAACCUAAAAUAUUAAAAUAAGGCUAAAAGUGCUUAUACAGUAUGAACAAUGGCAAAGGAUCUGAACAGUUUUUGAAAGUGUCAAACCACUGAUUAGCAUUUGUAGAACCCUCAGUAUCUUUGGUAAACAAAAUCGUGGCAGGCCCUUCUUACGCCCUCAGAUGAGCACUGAUGAGCUUGCUCAGUUCAACGGGCACUCUCGUCCCUCAACAGGGCUGGGAGACAGGAGGAGAACACAGUCCUUUGGGAAACUGCUUGGAGUUAAAUUCCUACAGUCAAACCCUUCACUCCAUGGUUUUACAUUUGAGGAUCUAAAGGAACAACCUCAAAACAGAACAGUGUAUAAACAGGAAAUAUAAACCACUUCAAUGCUCAUCAGUCUGGGAAUGGCUAAAUAAAUUAUAGCAGACAUAUACUCAAUAGAAUAAUGUGUAGCCAUUUUGGAUGAUAAACAUAAAUGCUUAUUAUGGGAACAUGGGAAAAUGCUUAAAUCCUGUCACAAUUAGGGCGCCUGGGUGGCUCAGUGGUUUAAAGCCUCUGCCUUCGGCUCAGGUCAUGAUCUCAGGGUUCUGGGAUCGAGGCCUGCAUCGGGCUUUCUGCUCAGUAGGGAGCCUGCUUCCCUCUCUCUCUGCCUGCCUCUCUGCCUACUUGUGAUUUCUGUCUGUCAAAUAAAUAAAUAAAAUCUUAAAAAAAAAAUAAAUCCUGUCACAAUUAGAAAAACAGAAAGUGCAUAUUGAAUGUGUGCUUCUUUCUAAGAAAAUUUUAAUUAGCAGAUCCUUUUGCUAAAUGGCCUGUUAAAAAUCCAUGCUACUUGGUAAAUAAUAGUUGGUAAAUAAUACUGUUGGUAAAUAUUUUCCCCUGCGGUUUUAAGCAACAGGUAAUAGUUCAAAAAGGUGCCAAGGUUAACAAGUUUUGCACUUUGGCCAAGAGUGUAAUGUCUGCAUGUUGAACUGAGGCGGGGUGGGGGUGGGGAUCCUGGAAAGAAUUUAUUAAUGUUCUCUGACAUGUCAGGAUAGCCUUAGCUGCAAGCGUCAGCACACACCACUGCCUCAGUUCACCAGUCUGCUGGGCUGAUGGUCUGGGUCACUUCCACACCAUGUAAGUUACAUUCAUUUUCUUCUAGGUGGUGGUGACAAUUUCCUGUCCUAGAACGAAUUCAAAGGAAAGCAGCUUCUCUUCUGUUUGGGACUGGGAACUCAUAUCAGCCUUGAGAGGAAACUCAGGUGAUGAAGGGAAUAAAGCCAUCUCGGAACCCAGACAAGGGAUACGGCUUCAUCCACUCAGCCUCCUAUGCCUGUGUACACACUUUUCUUUGCUGUCCCAGGAUGAAGCCACAUGGGUCUGCAUAGUGUCACUCACCUCCCUGUGACACACUGUGCACAGCGUCUGCAGGUUGUCCAGGGAGCACUGUCCUCCUCCACCAGAUACGGGCUUGAUGUGGUCCACCUGCCAGAAAUGCCCUUCUCCUGGGCUUCUUAUCAUUUCAUUAAGCUGCAGUAAGAACACAAGAUCAGCACUUUUCAACAUACGCUGUGGGAACUGGUGGUUUUGCCUUGUGCAAUCAUGUUUAUACAGCAAAAUCACAGCAAAAAAUACAUUAGGAUGGCUUUUUAUAGCUUUUAUUGUGAAUAGGAAAAAGCCUCUAGGUUAGCAAUUUGAAAGCAAUAAAAUAUGUUUCUGGAAAAAGUUCUUUCUCCCUUACCUAACCCAUUUUGAAAAAAUUACAAGCAAGUAUAAAGUACCAAGACUCCUGACAGAUGGGGAAAAUUACUUGCUUCUGCACCUUUGAGCUAGUUUAGAUAGUCAGUAAAGAAAACUGUGACAAGAAUGAGAUCAGAUUAGAAAUUUAAAAAACUUCUGAAUAUUACUGAGUCAAAUAAUCUUUAAUUAUACCUAAAGUCAUUUGUUGUUAUAAACAGUGAAAGUUCAACAGCUGUCAGCCGGAACCUUUAUGCCAUUCAUCUGGGAACCUCCCCAGUUCCAUGGACUGGAACGAAGUUUCCACAACAGAUCUCUCUCACUGGCCUAUCUAGAAUAAACAAAGUUGUCCACGUAAAGCAGCACUAUUUAGGCCUGCUCACAUAUAUGCACUUUAUAUUUUAUCUGUGAUGACCUACAUAAAAAUGGGAUGUAUUUUAACAUCCUGCUCGAGGCAGUAAAUGCAGCUCAGCAUUGUAGUUUUUUCAAUAUGAUAAAGAUGAGCAUGAAGCCUGUUUGUAUUUGCAUGGUCUUGGACAAGGCCGAAAUUAAAAUCGCUGCAUGCUGCUGGCCAAGGGAACCUGUGUCAUAGUUCUAACACACUUUGUCAGACAUGUGGAGGCAGAGGGACCUAACCAGCAGUGCCCAGCCCGAGAGGAGCCCCAAGAGGCAGCAGGCUGGAGCACUGAACUCUCCAGCUGAGGCCAGCCUUGUUAGCAGCAGUUACAGAUGGCCGUCUUGUGCAUCAAGCAAAUGAUGCGUUUUUAGGAAAGAAUAUCCAUUUUGUCUGCUUUUUGUAAUUAUUUUUUUUGCUCACGACAGGCUCGGGUGGACUCUCUAAUCCAGAGGUGCUUCUCUAUUUCUUCUAGUAGUUCCCAGUCACAUGGGGUCAGUCUUCAGCUGUUUAACUCUUAAAACAACCACUCCGUCUCCGGACUGGUCCUCCCCAAUUGAGCCCUAUGGUGCUCUCUAGCCUUGGAACACUUUUAAUAGAAUACUAUGUAAUAACUUCUGUUCCUGGAGAGGAAUGUCCUUGUGUCCUUUCAUUGUGUGUCUUCUGGAAGACUGCUCUGGGGUAGCAGACAGUUACUGCCGUCUGGCUGACACCCCUGGGAUGGGUGCAUGUGUCCCUCACCAAUUAGACUAAAGGAUAUUUCGGGAACUCUGGGUAUCAUGAAAGAAACAUUGUAUUUCCCUAGCUCUCAAAGUCAUGUUAAUUCAUCUUUGUAGAGAUGUUUAACUAAUUCUGUCAUAAUUUGGUGAUACUAGGCAAAUAAAAAUGUCUGAUUUGACCAACUGGCAGAAAUUUAUCCAUUACUUUAGUGGGGAGAGAAUGGCUCAGGAGUGACUUUUAAAAUUAAACAUUUUUCUCUAGUCUGAAACUUAGAACUGAUUAGAUCACAACAUUAGAAACCAGUUGAAUUUUGGAAAUAAAAGUAAAAACUGGUUGUUUUCUAAGAGUAAUAUUUUUUCCAUCAAUUGCUCUGCCAAAAUUACAUUUUACAGUGGGAUGAACAUAAAUAUUUUCUUCUCAUUGUAAUGAACUAUAUUUUGGGGGUUAUCUUCCUCUUGUCAUUCAAUACUAACAUCAUGAAAAGUGGAACAACCAGACCAUAGGUCCUUCUUGAUGGAAUGCAUGUAUCAUCUGUUAAGCUCUCUUCCCAAAAUAAUUUAAUCAGAAUCUAAUUAAGCCACUAUAUCUUAUAACUAUUAUUCUGGAAUCAGGGGGAUAGGGAAACAUGUCAAAUAAUACCAUGAGGAUACAGGAAGACAAAUCCAUAAUGUAGGAAAUCCUACAGGCAAAUGAUUCAGUUUCUUGAAUAGUCAAUGGUAUAAAAAAAGGAAUGGGGUGAUAUUAUAGAUUAAUUGGAAAAUAAGAAAUAUAA